Long non-coding RNA from Vespa velutina, 6904 nucleotides. RefSeq lists it as uncharacterized. The transcript is spliced from 3 exons. The record is from RefSeq and is a predicted model, not a curated record. Lineage: Eukaryota; Metazoa; Arthropoda; Insecta; Hymenoptera; Vespidae.
ACUUCACCUCGGAGAACAAUCUCUGCAUAUUUGAAAUCUAUCUGUGACUCUGUGCUAGGUAUGCUUCAAAUGCGUAUGCGUAUGAGCUACCAUGGACCUGUAUAAACAUAAAAGUUUGGAUGAUGUUACAUACGGCUGUGUGUGGCUUAAUACAUGUCGAUAUCGAUCUAUAUCUGCGUGUGGACGUAACUGCAGACUCUCUUAUGAUUAUCGUGUUUAAUAUUAUAUAUAUAUAUAUAUACACAUAUGUACAUUUUGAAGUGUUUCCUAAGAAUUAUAAGGUAGAAGGAAAGAGCGAGAGAAGUAGCAAAGGGAAGAGAAAGAAAGAAAGGUCCUUAGAUUUAAAGCAGCAACACGACGGCAACGCCGACUAUUUCUGUCGUUUUGACUGGUGAAAUUUUCAAGAGGCCAUCAUUGAUUUUACUCCUCUCGCGCUCCGAGCGCCGCCCUCUCUCUCUCUCUCUCUCUCUCUCUCUCUCUCUCUCUCUCUCUCUCUCUCUCUCUCGCACGUUUGCUCUCGGCGCUUCGUCGCGCGCCCUUCUACGACUAUCCCUCGCAUCGAUCACCCGUACUGUCCACGCAAAAUAACGAUUAGCUCGAAAGCGCAACAUGUACAUCAUCAGAAGUGCGUGCGCGCGUGUGUCGAACUGUACAACUUUCGUGGAGGUAUUGCGCAUACUGUAAGGCCAAAAGAAAGAUAUAGAAGGAGCUUUCAAGGAUGGAGAAGCGAAAGGAAUGGAUUUCUGGCGAGUGGUGUACGAAUUUGCUGAGAAAAAAACACUACAUCCGUGACCAACAGUGGUUGCUCCAGCCGGAAGAGAGAAGGGGACAUGAAGUUAAAUAUUUAAAAUCUUUGAGAUAUAAGGGUGCGUGCAUAGGCGUCACGUUAUCGGUAAAAGACGUCGAAACCCCAGGUGCAUCGUACGUGUUUACGAGUCUCCGAACGGCCCAACUUUGGAGCCUCGAGCGGAGGCCACCGGCAACUUUGAAGGUUGUUUUGUCGGAUAUAUCACUGGAAUGUACCAGGUGUUCGACUGCCCUCUCCUUCGACUUUCAAGGGUACCAUCAACGACUUUGCGUCGAAGAUCGAAGACGUUGACCUUUUCCGAACACGGUGCUUCGUCUUGUCCCAGAACUAUAGCAUCCCCUUGGAUGUCGUUGAAAGUGCGCAAAGGGAUCUUCAACGAGGCAAGAUCUUCGAAAAGAUGAGAAGGAAGAGAGGAUGGAAAGAGGGAAUAAAGGAAGGUAGGCAGAAAGGAAGGAAGAAAGGAAGAAAAGAAGAAAGGAAGGAAGGAAGGAAGGAAGGAAGGAAGAAUAGUGUGGACACAGCAGUGUCCUCGUGGGGAUAGGAGAGGGCAAGCAAGGCUUUUGCCACUUGGCACGUGGGUAGAGCAGUUACUUUAAUUCUUUAUAAGCAAGACACCGUUAUCGAGUUAGCUCGAGCCGGAAGGAGAAAAAGAAAGCUUUCAGCCUGCGGUGUGAUAAAGAAAGAUCGGAUAAGCUGUUGCUGGGAGAACGAUGUUCUUAUACAUAAAAAAAGAAAGAAAAAAAAAAAAAGAAAGAACGAAAAAAAAGAAAGAAAAAAAGAAAAAAGAAAAAGAAAAGAGAAAAAAAAAAGAAAGAACAGUCAAGAACGAUGCCACACCGAGAUUUUCUGAAUGUCCCGUAAAUAUAUUUUUUAUGACAUCUGUUCUUUACGAUUCUUGGGGGUCAUCAUCCACGUUAACGUUCGAAAAAGAAAGAGGAAAUGAAAGACUACAAAGGGUAGUUAUACCAAGUUACUCAUAUUUUAUAUCAGUUUUCAUAUUGAUCAGUCGUAUAGCAAAAUCGUAAAGGUUUUAGUAUGUAUAACGAUUUAACUCCAUUUCAAAAUUUAACGAGUAAACAGAUUUGGAAAAAAGGAAAGAACCUAACAAAAUUCAAGUUACUAUUUCGGACAAGAACAUGCUUUGUAGUUUAUUAAAUGAUACGGAGAGAAGAGAACGAUAGUAAGACAACUAGCCGUUGCUCCUUGUAUUCUCGAAACUCCGUAGCAUACACCUUUGUACUUUCUGAAAACGAAGAACAAGAGAAUAGUUUGGUAGCUACUAGGAAGACCGAGUGAUUUAUCUGAAGUCGUGUUUCGUAACAACCGCCUUAGAUUAACCGAAUUACCGGAUCUCCGUGUCCGGUAGCUAACAGACAUACAUACAUACAUACAUACAUACAUACACACACACACACACACACACACACACAGAGAGAGAGAGAGAUAGGGGAGAGAGAAGGAAGCGAAAGAGAAGGAGAUGGAAACGUAGAAAGGCAGCUGCUGGUGUAGUCGCAGCAGCGACGGUAGCAACCCACAGCCACCAUUACUGACGACGCAGGCCGACUACAAGGUAGGUUUGUCAUUGUGCGCUCAGUGUUUAAUUAGAGGCUGUAUCGACCAGGACGAAAAGGAUAGAUACUGUAGACGGGGAUAUGCGGCGGAGGGAUAUGGAAGGAAGGUAGGUGGAUACGUCUCUAGAUGGGCCCCGCACCUGCAAUUACCCAAUCGCGUCACGGUAAUGGAUUACCGAUUGGAGAGAAGCAGAGGAUCUGGUUCCGUGUUCGAUUCAGUCGCUGACCUCGAGGACGAGGACCAGUUUAAGGGUAGGAGGGUAGACAAGAAGUCGUCACAGUACCGAGUAUAGGAUUGAGUACCGGGCAUUACGGGAGACUCGCUACGGGGCCAAUUUACCUCGCCAAUCUAUGCCUCGUAAUUGGGAAUUUUAUAAUAUUUUUGGAAGCGAGCCAGUCUCUCUCACCCGACGAAGACUAACCGACCAGCAACGAAGGAUGAAGGACGAAGGGCAGAGGUAGAAAGGGAACGGGUUAUAACGGGGGACGCGGAGGAGGGCCAGCAACCUCUGGGGAAGAUGGAUAUCCUCUUUUUGAGGGCCCCACAGGAACGACGCUCGCCACCGAAUGAAAAAUGCACACGGCUAAAAUUCACCGCCGCAAAAAGGGUGCAAGCGAUUUGGAAGCAUACCAAAUUGUAAUCGUCGGAAAUCGACGAUUAAUUUAUCACGGAAGUAGCCCCGUCCUCCUCGAACUCCUCCUCAACUUCUCUGAAUCCCUUUCCACACCACCCAUCUACGAUAGAACUCUUUAGCUACCAUCGACUCUUACUCUCUUUUCAUUCCCUUGCCAUUCCCUUCUUCGAGCAUCGUUAACGUAUGAUUCAAUGGGAAACUACCACGUUUCGUACUCUCUAGAUCGUUCAUGCGAAUUUUCAACAAUACUAUCGCAGGUAGCUACAAGCACACAUAUAACUUAUAUAACUGUGAUCAAGUUACAAAUAACUUUGAAACUUUUCGGUCUACUUCAUUGAACUACGAUUCCAAUUGGCCGUUUCUCGUAGAGGAGUUAUAAUGUACCCCCUUUAAAACACAAAGAUAACAUUUCUUUGGACUAAUGAUUGUCAAGUUGAAUUGGUAUAACUAAUGAACUGGCCAAUUUUAUUUAUUCCUGUCGUUACAGUUCAAAGUCAACCACUUACGAGGACGAUUAUUAUUUUCGAUCACGAAUAUCCUUCUCACAGAAUACUAUGUACUCUCUUAUUCUCCUGGAAUCGUGGAGACGAUAAAGGACUUAGAGUCUCGGUAUGAUAAUCGUGAGACGGUUAGCGUGCUGGCGCAGCUGCUAGUUGCGAAAGUGUUCUACCCACUUCUCCGACGCCAUCGAAAGCGGCACGUGAAACGGCCGGCUUCGCUCGAGGCAACUUUAUAUUCAAAGCGCAAGCGGACGUCUUUGAAAAUGCAAUCGCAAAAUACAAUACCCUGCAUUACCUAUAUCCCGUCCCAGAAAAGAGAUAUCGUAAAAGAUGAUGUUAUACAUUAUGCGGCGCGAGGCUCCGAACUCUCUCCCUCUUCUCCCCUUCCCUUCUCUCUUUCUUUUUCCUUCUCUUUAUCUCUUCCCCACCUCCAGUCCCCGAUCGGUCGCCGUAUGUGCCUCGUUCAUCCUCCCUUUCACCCGCCUACUACCCUUCUCAACCUCCCUCUUACCCAAGCCAAAACGUCCGUAGCACCGUCCACCGCCAAUACGUUAAUAAAAUUCGAGAGCUGAAAGGGGCGCGCUAUGGAUAUACGUACUUCACCUACGAUAUUGAAGUAUCCCCAAGGAAAAUCCUAUUCCACUUUUUCCGCCUCCCACCCCACAGUAACCGGACGGUUCUUCGGAUGCGCCUGAAGAUACGUGAAAAAUCGUUCCCGGACUUUUAUUAUUUAUUACUGGCACCGUUUGUCCGAGGUAAGGUUGCGAAUUUAUAAUAAUAUGGAAGAAAACAACAUUUUUUUAAAUAAUUUUUUCCCAAUUAAACAAUAAUAUAUCCGUUGAAGAUUAACUUAUUAUUACGAACUGGUCAACAUUUUAUGCGUUCAUUCACGUGAUAAUUAAUUGUACUUCGACAGAGUUAUUUGUUAAAUUUACAGUACGAAACAAUAUUUCUAAGUGUUUUUAUAUAACGUAUAAAAUGUAUAUUGGAAUUGGUACAGAACUACUUACUGGUACAGAAGCUCAAAACUUGUCACAUAUAGAAUACGGAAGAAGAGAACACUGACAACAGUGAGAACUUAAGUGGUUCAGCUUUGCGAAAGGAGAAACACGCUGGUUUAGUGGUUUACAUUAACGGUCUUGACUCGACGGAAGUGGAACGUAUUUCACCGGGAAUUGCUGUCUGCGUUGCCCAUCGAGUAAGAAAUAAAGCUCUUGCAUCGGAUAUGUAUUCAAAUGUUUCCCGCUCAAUUACAAGGCAGUAACAUUUUCAUGCAUCCCCUUAAACAAACUGUUAUAUCAAGUGAAACGUUAUAACAAGAUAAUCCUUCAGGAGCACAUAAGAUUUUUUUCAAAUAAAAAAAUUAAUGGCAUCUUUCUUUCUCAAAUGCCUGUUUUUAACUCAUAAAUUCAGAUGAAAGAACGAAGCUCCAUGUCGUAAAAAGCAUUUCACGAGCAUUCGUUAUCGCGAUGUAAGAAUAGUACGGCUAGUCGCGGAUAAGGUCGACGCACAAUGAAGUGGGUCGUCGGAGUUAAUGGAGGAGUGGAUGAAAAGUAGAAGAAAAGGUGAAAAAGACAAGGAUGAUAGAGGAAGGGCCAAGGGUGCAGCGCAGUUACGGGGCGAUCAGGAUACAGAAGAGGUCUGCGGCACCCGCGGCUACUCUGCUUUCUGUCUGAGCUUCAUCCGGGAAGCUUUGCAUGGAAAUGCUGCCGUUGAAUUACCCACCACCGUUAACUUCAGCACAAUGCUCGUCACAUUAUGUUGCAUCAGAAAGUACCCAACGCCAGAGAUUCUGGUCUUCAGCGUCGUCGCAGCAUCCCUUUCUUUCUCUCUCUCUCUCUCUCUCUCUCUCUCUCUUUUUAAUUCAUUGUCUCUUCGCAUAUCUGCUCUUUUUCUUAUUCCAAGACUCCCUCUCUCCUUGGGAAUUCAGUGCAAAAUUAAUGUGUUCGUUCCCCUUUACAAAGUAUAUAUCACAAAAGUUUUUUCGAAUCGUCAUUUAUUUAUAUAUGGGUACCAUAGUUUUGUAAUAUUUUAUGAUAUGGAUAUUUUAAAGCAAGAACAGUAUAUAUCUACUUCAUGGUCAGAUGAGGAACGCGUCAAAUAAUCGAGAUUUAUCUCGAGCAAAAUAUCUUGAAUCGUCAUAUAAAAUUUACAGCGUAUGCAUGCAUAUGCCAGUGAUCAAUUCCUAAGCUUCUUUCGCGUUGUUCCCCUCUUCUCUUUUUUAUCCGCGAGCAAAUCUUGUAAAAAGUAUUUCUACCAUCUGCGUAACCACGAAACAAAAUGCUAUCGCGCUCGACUCUUUUACAAUUGCUCUCUAUGCAAGCGCGGCAGAUGCUGCGCUACGUGGCUUCUGUUGCAUAGAACUUCGUCUCGAAGUUACGUUCAGUCGAAACAAGAGAAGGAGAAAGAGGAUGAGGAUGAGAGGAGAAGUAAAAGCGAGAAGAUCAAUAAGUUUCUCCUACGAGAGAUGUACUUUUAAUCGCAAACACGUCAACUCCUUAAUUACAAAAACUUCCCCAAUUUCCAGGUUAUAAGAACACUCGUUUCAACUAAUUUAUAACAAAAGCCUGACCACGAAUAUUGCUGGCCUUAUGCGAGGAAAGUAAUAUCAACUGAUGCCGAAAGCACAUAAAGAGUUAUAUAAUCAAAGUGCAAAAGGAGACUUGCGUAGAAAAGAAGAAAUCCUUACCGAUCGAAAAAAGAGAAUUAGAAGAAAGAAAUGAAAAGCAUGGAAGAGAGCCUUCGAUCUAUUUUGCGAGAAGAUGACCAAACGAAGAUUUUUUCCUCUUUCCGAGGAAUACGACGAUGGCGAAAAGAACGACACAAUAGCAAUUUCGCGAGAACGAGAGUAUCGCUCGCACGUGUCACGUAGUAAGGAAGAAUGGUGGAAGAUAGCGGGGAGAGAAUCGUCCAGGAAUAACAGCGAUUACUUACAAGAAACGUGCGACUUGAUACAAGGAGCUUUCCUAACUCCCUUACUUCUCUCUUCCUCUUUCACCUUCACCUUCUCCGAUAGCUCGUCUUAACCGCCGUGGGCGCACAGGGUUCGCAGAGUUAAUUGCGAAGCUUUGUCAGAGUCUAGGUGAUACAUGCAAGGAUACUUCCCUUACGGUGAGGGAUGUCGCUGAGGGUCGAUAACGCCGUCUCGGGAUGAAACUGUCGUGCCUGCUGACGUAUAUUUAAAUGGGUCAACCGUAUGAAGCGCGUACGAAACGCUUCAUCUUCCUAGACGAAAUUUCGUGAACUUUAUCUCUGUUUCUCUUGCUUUCUUUUAGUAAAUAGGACGAUAGGUUCUACUAUCGAUCCAAAGACAUGACAAUGUGGACUUAAGUUCUUAUCUUUAAGAUAAUAAACAGUUUUAUAAUCGUUGAGUAGAUCUCUUAUGAAUUA